RNAcentral lists this ribosomal RNA (378 nucleotides) under uncultured eukaryote. Its description in RNAcentral is "partial 18S ribosomal RNA". It matches the Rfam family "Eukaryotic small subunit ribosomal RNA", at positions 592 to 976 of the family's 1831-position model. The record is from RNAcentral.
CAAUAGCGUAUAUUUAAGUUGUUGCAGUUAAAAAGCUCGUAGUUGAAUUUCGGGUGGGACGCAGCGGUCUCGCAUUGCGUUUGUACUGCUGCAGCCCUCCUUCUUGCCGGGGGCGGCCUCUCGGACUUCACUGUCUGGGGGUCAGAAUCGGCGAUGUUACUUUGAGUAAAUUAGAGUGUUCAAAGCAAGCUUACGCUCUGAAUAUAAUAGCAUGGGAUAACACGACAGGACUCUGGCCUAUCGUGUUGGUCUAUAGGACCAGAGUAAUGAUUAAGAGGGACAGUCGGGGGCAUUCGUAUUCCGUUGUCAGAGGUGAAAUUCUUGGAUUUACGGAAGACGAACAUCUGCGAAAGCAUUUGCCAAGGAUGUUUNCAUUGA